GUGGGGAAUAUUGCACAAUGGGGGAAACCCUGAUGCAGCGACGCCGCGUGAGUGAAGAAGUAUUUCGGUAUGUAAAGCUCUAUCAGCAGGGAAGAGAAUGACGGUACCUGACUAAGAAGCCCCGGCUAACUACGUGCCAGCAGCCGCGGUAAUACGUAGGGGGCAAGCGUUAUCCGGAUUUACUGGGUGUAAAGGGAGCGUAGACGGCUGGACAAGUCUGAAGUGAAAGCCCAGGGCUCAACCCUGGGACUGCUUUGGAAACUGCCCGGCUAGAGUGCUGGAGAGGUAAGUGGAAUUCCUAGUGUAGCGGUGAAAUGCGUAGAUAUUAGGAGGAACACCAGUGGCGAAGGCGGCUUACUGGACAGUAACUGACGUUGAGGCUCGAAAGCGUGGGGAGCAAACAGGAUUAGAUACCCUAGUAGUCC
RNAcentral lists this ribosomal RNA (425 nucleotides) under uncultured bacterium. RNAcentral describes it as "bacterial SSU rRNA". It matches the Rfam family "Bacterial small subunit ribosomal RNA", at positions 354 to 796 of the family's 1533-position model. The record is from RNAcentral.